CUCACUGCAUCCGAUCCUGCUUUGUUUUCAUACCUAUUGCUCUGCUGCGGAGUGCCUGGCUGGAGGCCUGAUGGGUUCCUAGACUGAUCCUCAACAAACAAAGCCCCUCCACUGCUCCAGCCAACUUUUACAUCUGCUUCAGCAGCCUUCCCUGUGUGUUUUGCACUUGUGUGAGAAGUAAAACAGAGGAACCACUACCUGCUCUAAUGUCCAUAUUUGUUUAACACCAUGUGUGGAUAUUUAGGUUUCAUGCACGUAGAGUGGGAGUACUUUUGAGCCAGGCCCUGGAUAUAGGCUGUUGAGGAAUGUAGAUUUCCUUCUGGAGAAGCAAUGAAGUGACUCCCAUCAAAUUCUGGACUGUCAGAAGAGCACAGUGCGUGUGAUAUUUCAGGGCUCUGUACAGAAAUCUAUCUUGUAAAUUUCUAUAGGGGCAUUGUUAUACAGCAGAGUGAAAUCUGUGCAAUAUAAUUCAGCAAAUUAAUACUGAUGCUAAGAAUUUAACCAGCAGUUCAGAGAAGAAUAUAAAGACUCUUGAGAAAUCCAUGAGUGCAUUACAUUCAAGUGUUACUAUUUACAUUUUUCAAAUUCAUGACUGCAAAGAGAAUGUGCUCUACACAGUUCUUAUCCUUCUUAUGUUCCUUUGUUCUCACUGUAUCUAUUGUCAGCAUCACUGCACAUUUUGAAAAGUUUUCAUCUAUCCAAGGGAAGGUGAGGGUAAUUGAAAAUUUAAAAGGAAGCUCUAGCAGGUCAUUUAAAUAUGUUGCUAUAUUUGUUUCCUAUUAUAUUGUGAUUGUUAUUAUAUUGAUAUUAUAUAUAUAUUCUUAGAUUGUUAUUAUUAUAUAGGAAUUGGAGCCGCAUUUAGCUAUGUAUUAUACUCGCAUAUAAGGAUGAUAUUCCCUGCCCCAAAGACCUUACAAUUUCCAUAUAAGUAGAGACACAGCAGGCAGAAACUACGAACAGAUGGAAAGAGCACAAGGUAGCCAUGAGUCAAUUGUUAGUGUAAUUAACAACAGGCACAGAACACUGGCUGCCUACUAAUCAUUUUGCAGGCAUCAUAGCAGAGGUGAGAUUUAAGGAUAAUGGUGGGGUGGUUUUGCAGUAAGGCUUCUCUCAUAUAUAACUCAUAUAUAAAAGGCAUAAUGGGAAGAAAAUUAGAUAUACUGCCACAAGAGAUAGAGCAGAGUUGGAAGUCAACAUCCCAGCAGUGUAUUAGAGAUAGGGAGCAUAAGGGAUGUGGAGUCUUGAAAGUUCAGACACAUAGUCACUGGAAAUCCUAAGCGAUUAAGUUUGGACUUUCUCCAUUUUCUUACAGUGCCUCAUAACUGAGUCCUAUUAGACCUAUACCUCUUUAAAAUAUCCUAAUGAUUAUAGGAAAUAAAUAUUUACAAUCUCUUUUUCCUAAGGCAACCUUUAUUAUGCAGUCACUACAGUGCUUUCCUUCCACUGGUGCUCCUACUUUGCAAGGAAUUACCCUUAAGUAGGCAAAAAGGGUGAAAUACUUGAGAACCCAGAGGUAAAAUGCAGCAGCAGUUUGACUUCUGAAAGGAAUACACUUUCUGUGUAACAGAACCAAGCUAACCAGGGACAAACUGUUCCCAACAGAAUAGAAAAGCAGGAGGCAUUUUCUCUAUUCAAAAAUUCUGGUUACCAGGAUGUAUUUACAAUUGAUCUGCUACAGCCUAGAUUCUGUUCAUUCUGUUGCAUGUAAGAGCUGGUUCUAGGAGCUUAUAACUCAUCUGUUUAAAAUAUUAAAAAAGGA
Alligator mississippiensis (American alligator) is the source of this 1759-nucleotide long non-coding RNA. RefSeq lists it as uncharacterized. The record is from RefSeq and is a predicted model, not a curated record. The transcript is spliced from 3 exons. Lineage: Eukaryota; Metazoa; Chordata; Crocodylia; Alligatoridae.